RNAcentral lists this ribosomal RNA (400 nucleotides) under Escherichia coli. RNAcentral's name for it is "partial 23S ribosomal RNA". It matches the Rfam family "Bacterial large subunit ribosomal RNA", at positions 1 to 431 of the family's 2925-position model. Lineage: Bacteria; Pseudomonadati; Pseudomonadota; Gammaproteobacteria; Enterobacterales; Enterobacteriaceae. The record is from RNAcentral.
GGGUUGUGAGGUUAAGCGACUAAGCGUACACGGUGGAUGCCCUGGCAGUCAGAGGCGAUGAAGGACGUGCUAAUCUGCGAUAAGCGUCGGUAAGGUGAUAUGAACCGUUAUAACCGGCGAUUUCCGAAUGGGGAAACCCAGUGUGWUUCGWCACACUAUCAUUAACUGAAUCCAUAGGUUAAUGAGGCGAACCGGGGGAACUGAAACAUCUAAGUACCCCGAGGAAAAGAAAUCAACCGAGAUUCCCCCAGUAGCGGCGAGCGAACGGGGAGSAGCCCAGAGCCUGAAUCAGUGUGUGUGUUAGUGGAAGCGUCUGGAAAGGCGCGCGAUACAGGGUGACAGCCCCGUACACAAAAAUGCACAUGCUGUGAGCUCGAUGAGUAGGGCGGGACACGUGGUA